Molecule: long non-coding RNA, 853 nt
Organism: Colius striatus (speckled mousebird)
Lineage: Eukaryota; Metazoa; Chordata; Aves; Coliiformes; Coliidae
Exons: 2
Source: RefSeq, a predicted model, not a curated record
ACAGUCAGGUCGCGGGGCGCUCAGCACUGAGGAGAGGAAGACGCACGAACUCCAGCGACACCCACCGUCAGCCGAGUAACAGCAUCCCCCGCGGGGCAGAGGUGGGGCCCUUCCUCGGGGACUGGCUGCCGGGGAUCCGCCCCGCUGCAGCUCGGUGUCAUGGUUUGACCUGACAGCCUUUUCUGGUAAGGGGGAAGGGGCUGUAAAGAUGGCUCCUGUAAGAAGUUGCUUGAAAUUCUCCCAAGCUCUGAGCCAGACCCAUUUCUGGGGCUGAGCCAAUUAGACGCCUCCACGAUCACUUUUUAAGAAGAAGGCGGAAGAGGAAGCUUCUUCCUGUUUCUUCUGUGCUUUCUUCUUUACCGGAUGGUGGUGGUGCAAGGAAUGGAAAGAUGGAGAGAAACAACCAUGCGCUCUCAAGAAACUGCAACCAUGCCGAAGAAUCCAUGGCAGAGAUAUUCACUAAGGGCUGUGUCCCGUGUGAGGGACCCUGUAUCAGCAGAAGCUAUAGCUGCUGGGAACAACCCACACCAGAGAAGUUCGUUAAGGACUGUGUCCUGUGGGAGGGACUCCGUGUUGGAGCAGAGGAAGAAUGCAAGGAGUCAUCCUCAUCUGAGAACAGAGAAGCUGCAGAGCCCAUCUGUGAGAGAUUGACUACAUCCCCCAUUCCCUGCCCCCCUGAGCCAUUGAGGGGGCAGGAGGUAGAGAUAUCUGGAGCAGUGAGCUGAGCCUGGGAACAAAGGAGGGAUGGGGGAGGGAGAUCUUAAAGUUCUGGCUGUAAUUUUUCUCAUCAUCCUACUCCUUUUGCUUUUGUUCCAUUCUGUUUCUUGUAGAAUAAACUUUCCCACUUUCCGAA